RNAcentral lists this transfer RNA (98 nucleotides) under Rattus norvegicus (Norway rat). It matches the Rfam family "tRNA". Rfam says of the family: Transfer RNA (tRNA) molecules are approximately 80 nucleotides in length. Their secondary structure includes four short double-helical elements and three loops (D, anti-codon, and T loops). The record is from Rfam by way of RNAcentral. Lineage: Eukaryota; Metazoa; Chordata; Mammalia; Rodentia; Muridae.
GGGGAUUUGGCUCAGUGGUAGAGCACUUGCCUAGCAAGCGCAAGGCCCUGGGUUGACUGCUCUUCCAGAGGUCCUGAGUUCAAAUCCCAGCAACCACA